Long non-coding RNA from Equus caballus (horse), 6311 nucleotides. RefSeq lists it as uncharacterized. The record is from RefSeq and is a predicted model, not a curated record. NCBI's taxonomy places the organism in Eukaryota, Metazoa, Chordata, Mammalia, Perissodactyla, Equidae.
UCACCCUCUAGAAACAAACCUCUCCCUGGCCUUCAGUAAUCUCCAGGAUUAGUGUUUCCUCCCCAAAUCUCAUUUCCUUCGACAGAACCCCCCGGAUUGCUCAAGCCCUCACAUUAGAGCAGCGGGGACAUUCGUGCCCUGUACUCCCCAGCGCAUGGCUGCGGCCCUCUCAUGGCCUCAGACCUGGGGCGGAAGAAGGGCUAAGGAGCCAGAGGGAGGCAAGAUCCUGUGUUUUCUGGGGAACAUAAAUUAUUUCCGCCGCAGUUACUUCUGCGCCUUCCUAGGUAAUCAAACUGUACACCUGGAUAGAGAAGCCCCGCCUCCCGCAGAUAAGAAUCAGAAUGGAUUUAUUGAAGUGACACAGUCAUAGAGAGAAUGCAGCACAAAGGUGAAUUCCAAGAGCGGGUCAAUUUACACAGAUUUUUUAAAUGAGAAUGUUACUAGCCCCUUUUUUCUCCCACACAGGCCUGCACCAGACUUCUCUUCUAGGACUAAAGCCUCAGUUUUUGUAUCCCCCUUCGGUUCCUCUUCCACAGAUCUUGCCCUGCCUCGUUGCCCAGCUCAGACAAACACCCUGCCUCAUCUUCCCCAUCUCCUCCCCACUGGGAGUUGGGGGCCCUCAAUCUUGGACUUCUCCAGACUUCACCAGACCGCAGAAUGGCCUUAAAUCCUUUCCAGUUUGCUUGUCCUCAGCCACCAGAUAGUCAGUCAGCAGUACUCAUUAAGCUUGUUCUGCGGGCAAAGCAGUGUACUGAGGCCUUAUCAAGAAAAACUGCAGGAACAGAAGUGGUAGACGUGCCCUUUCAGGAUGUGAAUUAGUGUCUGUGGGUCCCCUGGUAAGUGUAAACCGUUAUCCUCAUCAUUGUACAUCCAUUCCUUUAUUUAUCUUCACAAUGACCCCAGAAGUUAAAGCCCCAUUUUCCCUGUUUUCCAGGUGAGUAACCCGAACCUCUCAGAGACUGAGGAAGCUGCCUCAAGUAACAGCUGGUAAGUGACAGUGCAGGACUUCUGACUCCAAGCCCAGGCAUCUGUCACACACCAUGGUUGCCAUAAAGAGAGCCUGUCCUCCUUGGAAAUACAGAGCACCGUGCCCUGAAAUAGACUCGAAGUAUUUUCAGAAUAGCACGUCAAGAAGAGCACACGCACGAUAAACCCUGAGCUUGUGUGUCCUGGUCUGUUUCGUGGAAAAGAAUGGUUCAAGAAGGAAAGGUUCCUAAAGGGGGUAACCAUUAAAACCUAGUUUGAAAGAACAGAGAGCUAUAGAUUGGCAGGCAAGAGAGAAUAAAUUUGGAAUAAGCAUCUUCUCUUGAGGUUACUUAGACAUUCCUACUGUCGUGGAAAGAAUUUUCCACCGUGUCUCCCAGAGUGAGAGGAAUCCGGCUGAAACGUGGCAGGGUGGAUUCAGGUUAAAUAGCACAAAAAAUAUUUCUGGUGAUGAGGUGGUUAAAUACCAAACUAUUUCCCUAAAGGAAGUGGUGAAAUGUAGAUUUUCUUUUCCCUCGGAUGACUUUAGCUUACUCCUGUUGGAAACGGGAGAUGGAAUACAUGAGCUCCGGAAACCUCGUCUGAAAAUGGCAAUUCUGUGGCUAUAAGAUAACUUUAUUAUGCUCACGUAAAAAGAGCUCAGGGCAACCCAUAUAACAACAGACUAUUACUCAACCCCGGACCCUCCCAGAGAGCCACAGCGAAGGGUUUUCUCACCUUUCCUCCCUGUUCCCAUAUCCAACAAGCAUGAACCAGAAAGGGCCUGAGUCACCAGGUCAUGUGACUGAAAGUGCACACGGGGCCUCUCCACACUUGGCACGGCCAGAUGAAACCCAAAUCGCCGUGCCCUGCAAGCUAAGAGCACCAAGCAGUUGCAGGUUUGUCUCAGGAAACAUCCCGGGGCUGCCGUCCAGCCAUUCAAGCUUUUGAGAAACUUCUUACUUAGAAAUGAUUCAUUCCGAGGCACAAUGGCCUGGCCAUAAGACGGGUUCAGUUGGCCACGUUGUUCACAUUGGGGGUCUGCUGGACACUGCAGCUCCAGGAUUGCUGAGGGGAGGCCUCAGCGCCACUCCCUGCUGUAGACGCCAAUCACUGUUCUCCACAGAAGAGGAUGUUUGCAAUGGCUCCUCCCCUGCUCUCUGGCUGCUGUUCAGAUAUGUCUGGAAUGCCUAUUCUGCACCAGGCUUUGUGCUAGGAACUAGGUUUUCUCCCAUCCGUCUUUCAGAAUCAUACGUUUUAUAAUGUAGAAAUGUAUGGUCACUUUCAAUCAGGUUGCUAAAUUUAAAUUUUCGAAUACGUAUUCCCUGAAAGUGAUUAUCACAUCAAGGGCUGUGUUUUUCAAUCUGGUGAUUUGAUUUCUCCACCACCUGCCAGAAAGGGCCGUUUCUCCUAAGGGAGCUUCAGAACUUCCUCCGCAUCGCUUCCACGCUGUCUCCUUCAAAGAAGAUAAACACAGAAAAUGUUGGGCUGCACUGCAGCAUUCUGUAUUGAAAAACUUCGGUUAAGUUGUUCAAAGAAAACUGUGGAGCUUGGUCAAGAGCUUGGUAUCAUUUUCUUGAGGCUAAUUGCUAAAUAUCACUUUUCUGAUGUCCUUGAAGUCCCUGAAUCAGCUGAGAAAAGAAUUGUCAGUAUUCGUAUGACCUAAAUAAUUUUGAAAUCUGCCCUGGAUAUUAGGCCACUGGUACUUAUUACUGUAAGAAACUACACUCUCAGAAAGUGGAAGAGUUCAUUUAAAUAAUGGAGUUGAAAAUAAAGUGAAAAAAGUAAUAGAGGUGGGGAGGGAGGUACUCAGGUAGCAGUUUAGUGAAUACUAACGGCUGACCAAAGGGACUCACACCCAAAUUUACAGAUGCUGAAAUCUAACUCCUUGAACAUCUGCUCAGGAACCCACACAGGCCACCCACAGAAAACAAGAGGAUUUUUUUUUUCUCUCUCCAGGGGUGGGAGUGGAGGACAAAGGAUAAUAGCUUCUUAAUGCAGGAAGCAGAAAAAUAAAAUAGAACAAACACCCGGAUUUGAGGUAGAAUCAGUUAAUGGCAAAUUAUAUUUGAUGUGCAUUCUGAGUAAAAAUGAUGAACAGAUCAAAUGAGAUUAUUUUGGGAGGCUCCUUAUUUGUUUGUAUUCUGCCCUUCUCUGUGUAGGGCUUGAGGAGACUGCAAGACACUGAAAAUGUUAACAUCCUAUAUAAAUGAAUGUAUGGGAGGCAAGAAAAAAAAGAAAGAAAGGGGGAGAAUGGAAGGAGAGAGAGAAAUUUCAGUUAAGUGUAUUUCAUUUGUACAAUAGGUUUCCUGGAGGGGGAAAAAAACAAGACAAAAUAUUGCUUAUCAUUUGGUUAAAUUCAAAAAACGUUUGAGUACGUGCUCUGUGCUAACUUGUGCUUGCUAGAUGCUAAGGAGUGUCACAAGAUGACCAGGGUGAUCAGAUCUCUGCAUAAGGCAAAACUGUGUGCUCCCUCCCGCCACCACACACCCACGGAGGUCAGUGCAGUUUUUGCCCCAUCCCAAGCAGGAAUCCACACUAGGAUGGAGCCCAAACCAGUGCCAUGCCUCCUCUGAGCACGUCCAAUCUGGAGGAGCCUCAGAAGAUAGGAAUGAUUCCAGAAUUUAUCUGGGGUUUGCAGAGCUGACCUUAACCUUGAGUUAUUGUCAACUCGUCUAUACGUGGUCUCUGGCCACUCCCAGGAUCGCUCAGUCUUCUCAUUAACUUCUAAACUAGCUGGAUGGGAGCUCCUGGGUAAUGCCCCGACCCUGAACAGAGUGUGUAGGGAGAAUGGCUUCCACAGCCUGUAUAAAGCGUUAUUUAUGUGUAAUGGGUUACUUCAGUAGGUCACUCUCUUCCCCCAAGAAAGAGCAGAGGUGCUGUAAGUUAAGAGAACCCCUCCUAUCUGGGAUGCGGUCAGCAGAAGGCCUGGAGAGCUGCGUUUGGGAGUCAGUUACUAGCUGUGCCCUACUAAACCAAUUGCUCGAUCUUUCAUGUUUCCUUUCUCUCAGCCUUCGAAUGAAAGUAAUAUUACCUAUGUCACAGGGUCACACUGAUGAUUAAAUGAAAUAAGAUACCUGAACAUUCUGGAAAUGUCUAACACAGAUGUUAAUAUUUAUAAAAUUAUGACAGAGUUUUCUGGAUAGGUGAGAAAACAGAUUUCUUUGACAUUCGAGGGAGUAAACAUGAGAGACUAGACUCCUAAGAGAGCUGCUGAAGAUACAGGACUGGACUCAGAAAGUUGAAAGGAAACAUCCAGGUCAUGAUAGUAACUACCCAAAUCAUCAGAUUCUGCUCUGGUGAACGUGGGGUUAGAUUUUAUCAUCGUAUGGAGCCUAAAGUCCAUGUGUUGUCUGUGAUAGAAUCAUAACCCAAGAACAGCAGAAGGCAGCCUGAAAUCCACCACCGUCAAGGGCUUUAGAGGCCAGGGAGCGCUGUGUUCCAGAAGCCGUAAACACGGGAGGAGGCAGGGAGGGAACGGGCCACUUACAGCCAUCUGGCUACGGUCCUACCACACCCUCAUCUCCAUCCUGUCUGAACCCGCCCUCCUGGGGCCAGCCUGAAGCUGGACCAGAUUCCAGAUAAGCGCCGUUCCCUGGCCAAUCACCCGAGGACACUCAGUGUUUCUUCUUGGGUCCCAGUCCUAGGUUCUUUUCCCCUUCUCGUUGCAAAUUUUGCAAUUUUCUCUGUUGCAUCUUUUCAGCCCACGUAAUAAAGCUGUGAGGAGACAAAUGCUGAGUUGACAAGCAGGGCAACAGAAUUGAGCUAAAAUGGUCCUUUGGCUCUCACUCCUGGUAAUCCUAGAACUGCCAGCUUCUCCCUUUUAUCUGUUUCCUCCUGGCAACUAAAUGCCAACGAGGAACAUAGUCUCAAAAACGUGCCUCUAUUUUACAGACAGUUGUAGAAUCCAAGACACUGUAAGAAUUUUGAGCAAUUAAAGCAGGAACCAUGAAUAAGUAAACUUUAAUUAGCUUUGGACAACAAAUCCAAGUCAAUGAUAAAAUAAUACCCAAUAUUUAUACAGUAGGCUAAAGUUUACAGUGUUUCAGACCCGUUACCUCAUUUGAUGAUGAGAGCUACGCUGUGAGGCAGAUAUUUGUGGUAGGCAGCCUCCAAGAUGAUACCAAAUAAUUCUCACCUCUGGUAUUCAUGCCCCUCUGUGGCCACCCCCACACCAAAUAGUGCUGACCUGGACAGCCAAUAGAAUAUUACCAAAAAGAUGGAUGUGACCUCCAAGUCAGGUCAUAAAGACAUUGCAGCUUCGUCUUAUUCCCUCUUGGGUCACUCUCUCUGGGAGAAGUCAGCUGCCAUCACAUGAGAGCACUCAGCAGCUGUGAUGGUAAAUUUUGUAUUGUCAACUUGACUUGGCUAAGGAAUGCCCAGAUAACUGGUAAAACAUUAUUUCUGGGUGUGUCUGUAAGAGUGUCUCUGGAAGAGAUUAGCACUCGAAUAAUUAGGCUGAGUAAAGAGAUCACCCUCCCCAGUGCAGUUAGGCAUCAUCCAAUCCAUUGAGGGCCCCAAUAGAACAAAGAAGAUAGAGGAAAGGCGAAUUUGCUCUCUCUGCUUGAGCUGAGCCAUCCAUCUUCUCCUAUCCUUGGACACUGGCACUCCUGCUUUUCAGGCUUUCAGGCUCAGACUGAGAUUUACACCCAAGGUGCCCCCGAUUCUCAGGCCUUUGGACUCUGACUAAAUUACACCACCAACUUUCCUGGGUCUCCAGCUUGCAGACAGCAGAUCAUGGGACUUCUCAACCGCCAUAACUGCAUAAGCCAAUUCUUAUAAUAGAUAGGUAGAUCGAUAGAUAUCCUAUUGGUUCUGUUUCUCUGAAGAACAUUGACUAAUACAGCAGCCCAGUGGAGAAGUUCACAUUUUGAGGAAGAAAGGCCUCCUGACAACAGCCAGGAGCAACUUGAAAGUGAAUCCUCCAGUCCCCAUGAAGAAUUCAGAUCAUUAUAGCUCCUCCCAAAAUCUGUUUUUCAAUUAACGGCUUUAUUGAAAUAUAAUUCAUACACUCUACAGUUCUCCGGCUAAAAGUGUACAUUUCAGUGGUUUUUCGCAUGUUACAUAUAUGUGUAGCCAUCACCACAGUCAAUUUUAAAACAUUUUAAUCAUCUCAAGAAGAAAUCCCACACCUUUUAGCUGUCAGCCUCCCUAUACUCCCCAGCCUUAAGCAAAUACUAAUCUACUUUCCUUUUUCUAUAGACUUGCCUCUUCUGGACAUUUUAUAUAAAUGGAACCAUACAGUAUGUGGUCUGUUGUGACUGGCUUGCUGUACUUAGCAUGCUUUCAAGGUUCAUCUAUGUUGUAGCGUGGAUCAGGACUGUAUUCAUUUUUAUGGAAAAACAAUA